CUCUGGGAGGCCCUCCGGGGCCAACAGUAAGUCUGAGUCAACAUUAAUCUGGCCCAGACUCCUGUCAAAUUGCUGCUAUUGCCCGGGGUCCCAGUGUUCCUGAGAUUUUUGUGUGCUCCCUUUAAGAGUAAAGUCCAUUUCCCAUAGUCUGUCGGGACUUCUGAAGUUAAGCCCUGCCUGCCUUCAAAGCCAUGUGCUCUGGUACCUUGUGUUCCUGCUGCAGGAUCCCCAGGCCAGGGGACCUGAUGUGGGACCCAGAACUCUUACUCCUGUGGGAGAACUUCUGCAGUAUUAUUCCCCAGUUUACGGGCUCUCCCACCUAAGGCCACCAGGAGCUUGCUGGAGAAAAGUUACUAAACUCAAAAUCAUCCCACUGUGUUUAUGACAAGCUAUUGUUCUUAGACCAGUUUGGAAGGAAGGACAACUUCCAAGGAAUAAGAACUUCCAUAGGCGAUGGAAGUCAGUGGAGGGUGCUUUAUAGGAGAGGAUGUGGACAGAUGGGUGAGUCAUUCCUUCCAUUCAGUUUCCCCUUUUAAGUAGCCAAAGUCCAUUCUUAGUGAUUAUUGUCCUGCAAUCGCAAGCAAAGA
RNAcentral lists this long non-coding RNA (587 nucleotides) under Capra hircus (goat). RNAcentral describes it as "lncRNA (ENSCHIG00000007278.1)". Lineage: Eukaryota; Metazoa; Chordata; Mammalia; Artiodactyla; Bovidae. The record is from RNAcentral.